This 403-nucleotide ribosomal RNA is filed under the name uncultured bacterium. RNAcentral describes it as "bacterial SSU rRNA". It matches the Rfam family "Bacterial small subunit ribosomal RNA", at positions 917 to 1322 of the family's 1533-position model. The record is from RNAcentral.
GGGCCCGCACAAGCGGUGGAGCAUGUGGUUUAAUUCGAUGAUACGCGAGGAACCUUACCAGGGCUUAAAUGUAGAACGACCGAUUUGGAAACAAGUCUUCUCUUUGAGCGGUCUACAAGGUGCUGCAUGGUUGUCGUCAGCUCGUGCCGUGAGGUGUCGGGUUAAGUCCCUUAACGAGCGCAACCCCUAUCUCUAGUUGCCAGCGGAUAAUGCCGGGGACUCUAGAGAAACUGCCCGUGCAAACGGUGAGGAAGGUGGGGAUGACGUCAAAUCAUCACGGCCCUUACGUCCUGGGCUACACACGUGCUACAAUGGUCGGUACAGAGGGCAGCUACCACGUGAGUGGAUGCAAAUCUCGAAAGCCGAUCUCAGUUCGGAUCGGAGUCUGCAACUCGACUCUAUG